This 494-nucleotide ribosomal RNA is filed under the name Serratia sp. UG. Its description in RNAcentral is "bacterial SSU rRNA". It matches the Rfam family "Bacterial small subunit ribosomal RNA", at positions 934 to 1426 of the family's 1533-position model. Lineage: Bacteria; Pseudomonadati; Pseudomonadota; Gammaproteobacteria; Enterobacterales; Yersiniaceae. The record is from RNAcentral.
GGAGCAUGUGGUUUAAUUCGAUGCAACGCGAAGAACCUUACCUACUCUUGACAUCCAGAGAACUUUCCAGAGAUGGAUUGGUGCCUUCGGGAACUCUGAGACAGGUGCUGCAUGGCCUGUCGUCAGCUCGUGUUGUGAAAUGUUGGGUUAAGUCCCGCAACGAGCGCAACCCUUAUCCUUUGUUGCCAGCGGUUCGGCCGGGAACUCAAAGGAGACUGCCAGUGAUAAACUGGAGGAAGGUGGGGAUGACGUCAAGUCAUCAUGGCCCUUACGAGUAGGGCUACACACGUGCUACAAUGGCGUAUACAAAGAGAAGCGACCUCGCGAGAGCAAGCGGACCUCAUAAAGUACGUCGUAGUCCGGAUUGGAGUCUGCAACUCGACUCCAUGAAGUCGGAAUCGCUAGUAAUCGUAGAUCAGAAUGCUACGGUGAAUACGUUCCCGGGCCUUGUACACAUCCGCNNGUCACNCCAUGGGAGUGGGUUGCAAAAGAAG